AAAAGAAAGGUUUCUGCUGUGUGGGACCACUUUGAUGUCAUUUCGGAAAAUAAGGUUAAAUGUCGCAAUUGCUCAACAGAGCUUGCAUAUUUAAAUAACAGCACCUCCUCAAUGCUGAGGCAUUAUAGGGCCAAGCAUGAGAGUGAAAUCAAUGAUACACCCAUGAUGAACUCAGCUUCCAGGAAGCAGAUGCUUGAUGAGGCUGUGCUUAAUUUCAUUGUAAAGGACUGCCAGCCCCUCGCUGUUGUGGAGAAUGAAGGGUUCAGGGAGCUGGUUCAGCUCCUUGAACCCUCAUAUGUUUUGCCAACCAGAAAGACCAUCAAACAACUGUUGGCCAAAAAGUACGAGGAGGAACGGGAACGAGUGAAAAUGGAAGUACAGCAGACUGCGGACAGAAUGUGCCUCAAUUGGAAGCUCAAAUGAGCCCAAGCCGGGAACAUCUUCACAACAGCUAUGACCUUUGGGAACAUUUUGAUCUCGAAGUGGGGAGGCAGACCAAAAGUGCCACAGCUGAUGCCAUCCUUGAGGUGCAGAGAUACAUGGCAGAGGGCAAUAUUGCGAGGUCCCAGGAUCCUCUUGUA
Long non-coding RNA from Cyprinodon tularosa, 581 nucleotides. RefSeq lists it as uncharacterized. NCBI's taxonomy places the organism in Eukaryota, Metazoa, Chordata, Actinopteri, Cyprinodontiformes, Cyprinodontidae. The transcript is spliced from 5 exons. The record is from RefSeq and is a predicted model, not a curated record.